Molecule: long non-coding RNA, 638 nt
Filed under: Scleropages formosus (Asian bonytongue)
Lineage: Eukaryota; Metazoa; Chordata; Actinopteri; Osteoglossiformes; Osteoglossidae
Description: lncRNA (ENSSFOG00015026863.1)
Source: RNAcentral
GGGGGAGCUCACAGGGCAACAUGCACAUUUAUUAAUUUAGCCAAUGCUUUCGUUCAAAGAAUAUUACAAUGAUUUACCCAUUUGCAGAACCUGGUACUUCGAACUGGAGCAGUUCAGACCUCCAGCAGUCCACGGUGUGGUACAGAUGAUGUAUGCUCGGAGAUCAUGUUUGCCAAACCGAGCGCUUUUCAAGUUGCCUGGGUGGAGACAGACAGACAAAAGUCUAUCCAGGGGCUCCAAAUCUCAGGAGGCAAAGAUAGGGCGAAACCAACACGGUGUUUACGAGCUUCAAAAGAAGGUACGAUUCUCACUUUGUUUGCUCCCACACAUCCAUCACGAGAGGCUGACUGCGGUGUGGACGUCAUCUUCUCCCUGCCAACCUGAAGGAUGAGAAGGUGGACAGGGACACACAGGCACACAGACACAACCCCACAGGCAACAGUGUUUGUUGUCACUGAUCUUCUCCAGCAUCGGCGGCAUCGCUACCAAGGCCAAGUUGCAUAAACAAUGCGUAAAAGUGUAAAACUGAAAUGCUAUGCAAAAAGACUCUGCUACCAAGCAAAUACAUUAAUGAACACGCAGCUCAGAAAAGCAUCAGCAUUGUACAGGUGGUCCUCAGGUUGCGACAGGGUUCCCUC